GUUCUUCUGUGAAGGUAAAGCUAUGGGGUGAUAUGGGGUGAUAUGGGGUGAUAUGGGGUCUCUAUGGGGUGAUAUGGGGUGAUAUGGGGUCUCUAUGGGGUGAUAUGGGGUCUCUAUGGGGUGAUAUGGGGUGAUAUGGGGUCUCUAUGGGGUGAUAUAGGGUGAUAUGGGGUCUCUCUGGGGUGAUAUGGGGGGAUAUGGGGUGAUAUGGGGCGAUAUGGGGUGAUAUGGGGGGAUAUGGGGUCUCUAUGGGGUGAUAUGGGGCGAUAUGGGGUCUCUAUGGGGUGAUAUAGGGUGAUAUGGGGUCUCUAUGGGGUGAUAUGGGGUCUCUAUGGGGUGAUAUAGGGUGAUAUGGGGUCUCUAUGGGGUGAUAUGGGGUCUCUAUGGGGUGAUAUGGGGGGAUAUGGGGUCUCUAUGGGGUGAUAUGGGGCGAUAUGGGGUCUCUAUGGGGUGAUAUAGGGUGAUAUGGGUUCUCUAUGGGGUGAUAUGGGGUGAUAUGGGGUCUCUCUGGGGUGAUAUGGGGGGAUAUGGGGUGAUAUGGGGCGAUAUGGGGUGAUAUGGGGUCACUAUGGGGUCUUUAUGGGGCUCUAUGGGGCACUAUGGGGCUCUAUGGGGUAAUAUGGGGUGAUAUGGGGUCUCUAUGGGGUGAUAUGGGGUCUCUAUGGGGUGCUAUUGGGUCAUUAUGGGGUUCUAUGAGUUCUAUGGGGUCCUCAUUGGGUUCUAUUGCUCGCUAUGGGGCAGGGGUGAAGGUGAUGUUCCGUGUGGGGCUAUGGGGUCCUCAUUGGGUUCUAUGGGGUCUAUGGGGUCCUCAUUGGGUUCUAUGGGGUCUAUGGGAUCCUCAUUGGGUUCUAUGGGGUCCUCAUUGGGUUCUAUGGGUUCUAUGGGGUCCCCAUUGAGUUCUAUGGGGUCCUCAUUGGGUUCCAUUGCUCGCUAUGGGGCAGGGGUGAAGGUGAUGUUCCAUGUGGGGCUAUGGGGUCCUCAUUGGGUUCUAUGGGGUCCUCGUUGGGUUCUAUGGGGUCUGUGGGGUCCUCAUUGAGUUCUAUGGGAUCCUCAUUGGGUUCUAUGGGGUCCUCAUUGGGUUCUAUGGGGUCUAUGGGGUCCCCAUUGGGUUCUAUGUGGUCCCCAUUGAGUUCUAUGG
RNAcentral lists this long non-coding RNA (1138 nucleotides) under Coturnix japonica (Japanese quail). RNAcentral describes it as "lncRNA (ENSCJPG00005000445.1)". The record is from RNAcentral. Lineage: Eukaryota; Metazoa; Chordata; Aves; Galliformes; Phasianidae.